This is a long non-coding RNA of Hydractinia symbiolongicarpus, 755 nucleotides long. RefSeq lists it as uncharacterized. The record is from RefSeq and is a predicted model, not a curated record. The transcript has 3 exons. NCBI's taxonomy places the organism in Eukaryota, Metazoa, Cnidaria, Hydrozoa, Anthoathecata, Hydractiniidae.
CCUAAUUAUGGCGUGGUGACCGGUUUAUGAACGCUGAUAUAAUGGCAGGCAGGCUGUGAUUGGCAUUUCCUUCCGACUUUUGUAAAUGAAACAUUGACGAAUCUUUAUGUACGUGGAAGCUGUUGUUCGUGGAGUCCAAUGUCGUUGGAGUGUUGACAAUGCUGUAAUAUAUGCAAGAACUAUUAAUAUAAAUAUAAAAAAACUGAGUAUGGACGUUACUAUUUCUUAUUGUCUUGUGAAUGGAAAAGCACCAUGUUGAUGGUUUUCAUGGUAUGGAGAAAAAGUCGAUGUCUUCAUCAUUAUCAAAGUUCGAAUCAGUGAUAACCUUCAACUGUUUUGAAACAGUCGGUAUGAUUGUGGUUGAUGGUGGCUGUCGAAAUACCAGCUCAUACGGAGUAAAUCCUGUAGCGCUGUGUUGUUGUGUGUUGAUGACAUCUAUUAAAAAAAUGAAAAAUAAGUAACGACAAUUCGAUCUGCAUUUCGGAACUAUUGUUAUCAACCUACAACAUAUUUGUGGCAACCACGAGCUCCAAGGUUUAGUUUCACUGGCACACUCAGCUAUCAUGACUGAUAUUUUAUGCUCCACAUUGAUAUGAGCCUGUUCUAUCAUGCCUUGACUCUGUGGAUGGCGAGGACGACCACGAACCACCUGAAUCUCCCCUGGCCAAGCUUCGAUAAGAUAAUCUACUGAUUUUUUUACAAAUUCUGAAUAUUUUAGUUCAGUUGUGUGUGAACUUACUUGGAAGCGUUUCAUG